RNAcentral lists this non-coding RNA (777 nucleotides) under Ptomascopus plagiatus. The record is from RNAcentral. Lineage: Eukaryota; Metazoa; Arthropoda; Insecta; Coleoptera; Silphidae.
UUAAAGUUUUAAUCUGGCUUAUGGGAUUAAUUUAUAUUUACAUUACAUGUAAAUUUUUGUGCUUAAAAUGAUAAUUUUAGAUAAAUUAUUAUUUGUUUAACCGCAGUAAAUAAUUUUAUUAAUUAAAGGAAUUUAGAAUUAGUAAUAUAUAAUAACAUUAACAAAAUUUGUGCCAGCAGUUGCGGUUACACAUUUAAUGUAAUUAAUUUUUUUCGGUGGAUAAUAAUUUUAUAUUUAUAAAUAAUAAAAGUUAAUUUAUUAGGUGAAAUUUUAAAUUAAUAAAAUUUUUAUUAAAGAUUUAUAAUUUAUUAAAUUUUUAUAUAAACUAGGAUUAGAUACCCUAUUAUUUUAAACGUAAAUUAAAAACUAGAUUAGUAUUUGUGAUUUCUUGAAAAUUAAAGAUUUUGGCGGUAUUUUAGUCUAUUCAGAGGAACCUGUUCUAUAAUUGAUAAUCCACGAUUUAUUAAACUUAUUUUAGUAGUUUAUAUAUCGUCGUCAUUUGAAUAUUUUUAAAAAAUCUUGAAUGUUCAUAAUUUUUAAAUAGAAGGAAAAUCAGAUCAAGAUAUAGCUUAUAGGUAAGUAGAGAUGGGUUACAAUAAAGUUAUUUAUAUGGAUUAAACAUUUGAAAAAUUUUAUGAAAGUGGAUUUGAAGGUAAUUUUAUUUAAAUUAAUAAAAUGAUUUUAGCUCUAAAAUAUGUACAUAUCGCCCGUCGCUCUCAUAUAAAGUGAGAUAAGUCGUAACAUAGUUGAGGUACUGGAAAGUGUUUCUGGUUAGCG